UACAGGGGGGGCAAGCGUUGUUCGGAAUUACUGGGCGUAAAGGGCCAGUAGGCGGCCAACUAAGUCACACGUGAAAUCCCCAGGCUUAACCUGGGAACUGCGUGUGAUACUGGAUGGCUUGAAUUCGGGAGAGGGAUGCAGAAUUCCAGGUGUAGCGGUGAAAUGCGUAGAUAUCAGGAGGAACACCGAUUGCGAAGGCAGCUCGCUGGGACGUUACUGACGCUGAGACGCGAAAGCGUGGGGAGCAAACAGG
Molecule: ribosomal RNA, 253 nt
Filed under: uncultured bacterium
Lineage: Bacteria
Description: partial 16S ribosomal RNA
Rfam family: Bacterial small subunit ribosomal RNA
Source: RNAcentral